GAUGAACGCUAGCUACAGGCUUAACACAUGCAAGUCGAGGGGAAACGAUAUUGGAAGCUUGCUUCCGAUAGGCGUCGACCGGCGCACGGGUGAGUAACGCGUAUCCAACCUGCCCAUCACUUGGGAAUAACCUUGCGAAAGUAAGACUAAUGCCCAAUGACAUUUAUAGAAGGCAUCGGAAAUGAAUUAAAGAUUUAUCGGUGAUGGAUGGGGAUGCGUCUGAUUAGCUUGUUGGCGGGGUAACGGCCCACCAAGGCGACGAUCAGUAGGGGUUCUGAGAGGAAGGUCCCCCACAUUGGAACUGAGACACGGUCCAAACUCCUACGGGAGGCAGCAGUGAGGAAUAUUGGUCAAUGGAGGCAACUCUGAACCAGCCAUGCCGCGUGCAGGAUGAAGGCCCUAUGGGUCGUAAACUGCUUUUAUACCAGAGAAAACCCUUCCACGUGUGGAAGGUUGAUAGUAUGGUAAGAAUAAGCAUCGGCUAACUCGUGCCAGCAG
This 498-nucleotide ribosomal RNA is filed under the name uncultured bacterium. RNAcentral describes it as "bacterial SSU rRNA". It matches the Rfam family "Bacterial small subunit ribosomal RNA", at positions 28 to 514 of the family's 1533-position model. The record is from RNAcentral.